RNAcentral lists this ribosomal RNA (477 nucleotides) under uncultured bacterium. RNAcentral describes it as "SSU rRNA". It matches the Rfam family "Bacterial small subunit ribosomal RNA", at positions 26 to 518 of the family's 1533-position model. The record is from RNAcentral.
AGGACGAACGCUGGCGGCGUGCUUAACACAUGCAAGUCGAACGGAAAGGCCCGCUUGCGGGUACUCGAGUGGCGAACGGGUGAGUAACACGUGGGCAACCUGCCCUCAGCUCUGGGAUAACUCCGGGAAACCGGUGCUAAUACUGGAUAUCGACUUCUGCCUCGCAUGGGGUGUUGUUGAAAGUUUUUCGGCUGGGGAUGGGCCCGCGGCCUAUCAGCUUGUUGGUGGGGUGAUGGCCUACCAAGGCGACGACGGGUAGCCGGCCUGAGAGGGCGACCGGCCACACUGGGACUGAGACACGGCCCAGACUCCUACGGGAGGCAGCAGUGGGGAAUAUUGCGCAAUGGGCGGAAGCCUGACGCAGCGACGCCGCGUGAGGGAUGGACGGCCUUCGGGUUGUAAACUCCUUUUAUCGGGGAAGAAACAAAUGACGGUACCCGAUGAAUAAGCCCCGGCUAACUCCGCGCCAGCAGCCGC